Molecule: long non-coding RNA, 259 nt
Filed under: Nicotiana benthamiana
Lineage: Eukaryota; Viridiplantae; Streptophyta; Magnoliopsida; Solanales; Solanaceae
Description: long non-coding RNA (NBEN_LNC003847)
Source: RNAcentral
AUAUUUGAUAUUUGAUAUAAGUACUACAGGAUUUCUUACAUCACUGCUAAAGAAAGCACUUACCUCAAUAAGCGUAGGUGUCGAACUGGUCGUAUUUGCUUUUGAACCGUCCUUACUUCGAUAGAAUCCGCGGAUCUUACGUACCUCUUCUCAGGAUUUCCCUAACAUUGUUAGUAAAAGCUGCCUUUAGUGCCAGGACGUUUAGGACUCGUACUUGGCACUUGAAGUAACAAAAACUAUGCUUGAAAGCAACUAGUGG